Molecule: transfer RNA, 72 nt
Filed under: Camelus bactrianus (Bactrian camel)
Lineage: Eukaryota; Metazoa; Chordata; Mammalia; Artiodactyla; Camelidae
Also listed under: 2 other names
Rfam family: tRNA
About the family: Transfer RNA (tRNA) molecules are approximately 80 nucleotides in length. Their secondary structure includes four short double-helical elements and three loops (D, anti-codon, and T loops). Further hydrogen bonds mediate the characteristic L-shaped molecular structure. tRNAs have two regions of fundamental functional importance: the anti-codon, which is responsible for specific mRNA codon recognition, and the 3' end, to which the tRNAs corresponding amino acid is attached (by aminoacyl-tRNA synthetases). tRNAs cope with the degeneracy of the genetic code in two manners: having more than one tRNA (with a specific anti-codon) for a particular amino acid; and 'wobble' base-pairing, i.e. permitting non-standard base-pairing at the 3rd anti-codon position.
Source: Rfam by way of RNAcentral
GAGGGGAUAGCUCAGUGGCAGAGCACAUGCUUAGCAUGCACGAGGUCCUGGGUUCAAUCCCCAGUACUUCCA